UUUUUUUUUUUUUUUUCAUCGUAACCGAAAGUGUUCUAUGGUUUACCUUAACUAUUGCUUGGUUGACCGACUAUUCCUAAAGCAAGUGAUAAAAGGCUUGGUGGUUGGUACCCGAGACCCAAGUUCGAAUCCUAGUUGAUUCACAUUUCCAGCUAAAUUUAUUUCUAAAUGAAAUAAACGAAGUGGGUAACUGCUACCUAUAUCUCAAAAAAAA
Molecule: long non-coding RNA, 214 nt
Filed under: Ananas comosus (pineapple)
Lineage: Eukaryota; Viridiplantae; Streptophyta; Magnoliopsida; Poales; Bromeliaceae
Description: long non-coding RNA (ACOM_LNC012332)
Source: RNAcentral